This 885-nucleotide ribosomal RNA is filed under the name uncultured Bacteroidota bacterium. RNAcentral's name for it is "bacterial SSU rRNA". It matches the Rfam family "Bacterial small subunit ribosomal RNA", at positions 25 to 904 of the family's 1533-position model. Lineage: Bacteria; Pseudomonadati; Bacteroidota. The record is from RNAcentral.
CAGGAUGAACGCUAGCGGCAGGCUUAACACAUGCAAGUCGAGGGGCAGCGCGGGGCAGCAAUGUUCUGGCGGCGACCGGCGGAAGGGUGCGUAACGCGUGAGCGACAUGCCCGUUGCCCGGGGACAACCGGUGGAAACGCCGACUAAUCCCCGAUGGGACGGAGGCCCUCAUGGGUCUCCGUUGAAAGUUACGGCGGCGACGGAUUGGCUCGCGUCCGAUUAGCUUGUUGGCGGGGUAACGGCCCACCAAGGCUACGAUCGGUAGGGGUUCUGAGAGGAAGGUCCCCCACAAUGGAACUGAGACACGGUCCAUACUCCUACGGGAGGCAGCAGUGAGGAAUAUUGGUCAAUGGGCGGAAGCCUGAACCAGCCAUGCCGCGUGCGGGAAGGAGGCCCUAUGGGCUGUGAACCGCUUUUGCCUGGGGGCAAUAAGGGCGUCGUGCACGUCCGAUGAGAGUACCAGGCGAAUAAGCAUCGGCUAACUCCGUGCCAGCAGCCGCGGUAAUACGGGGGAUGCGAGCGUUAUCCGGAUUCAUUGGGUUUAAAGGGUGCGUAGGCUGUGCGUCAAGUCAGGGGUGAAAUUCCGGGGCUCAACUCCGGGGCUGCCCUUGAUACUGUCGCGCUGGAGUGCGGAUGCCGCCGGAGGAAUGAGUGGUGUAGCGGUGAAAUGCUUAGAUAUCACUCAGAACACCGAUUGCGAAGGCAUCUGGCGAAUCCGUAACUGACGCUGAGGCACGAAAGCGUGGGGAUAGAACAGGAUUAGAUACCUUGGUAUUCCACGCCGUAAACGAUGAUGGCUAACCGCCGGCGACACACUGUCGGUGGCCAAGCGAAAGCGAUAAGCCAUACGCACCUGGGGAGUACGUCGGCAACGAUGCAACUCAA